This 253-nucleotide ribosomal RNA is filed under the name uncultured bacterium. RNAcentral's name for it is "partial 16S ribosomal RNA". It matches the Rfam family "Bacterial small subunit ribosomal RNA", at positions 524 to 776 of the family's 1533-position model. The record is from RNAcentral.
UACGUAGGUGGCAAGCGUUGUCCGGAUUUAUUGGGUUUAAAGGGUGCGUAGGCGGCUUUGUAAGUCAGUGGUGAAAUAUGGCAGCUCAACUGUCAGGGUGCCAUUGAUACUGCAGAGCUUGAGUACAGAUGAGGUAGGCGGAAUUGACGGUGUAGCGGUGAAAUGCGUAGAUAUCAGGAGGAACACCUGUGGCGAAGGCGGCUCUCUGGUCCGAUACUGACGCUGAGGCGCGAAAGUUAGGGUAGCAAACGGG